UGGGAAUGUGAAAUUUUUCAG
This is a non-coding RNA of Caenorhabditis elegans, 21 nucleotides long. Lineage: Eukaryota; Metazoa; Nematoda; Chromadorea; Rhabditida; Rhabditidae. The record is from Ensembl.